AACCGACGGUAAAAGAAAAAAAUUGAAAAAAAUAAUAUAUACAAUCAGCUUCGUUUUAAAAGUCUCGCUAACGUGUUCUCUGUCAAUUUUAAACCGACGCUAAACAUGUUGCUAGUAUUAUAAACUCACACAAAACCUCUUAUUAUUCAAUUACCCAAAUUUUUUUUGACACAAGCAAUUCAUUUCGUGAACCCUAGGUGUGUGAUUGAGCUGUUGAAGACCUAUGGCGAUUCUCCUCCGCCUCUGUGCAAAACCUUCAAAUCUCUUUGCCUCUCCGUCUCGCCAGGUCCCUCUCUCCUCUGCCCUUUCUUUCCCUCUCAGUUGGUCAACCUUCCUUCUUCUCCAACAGCGGCGGCAGCUCUUUCAUUCUUCCUCAUCGUCUUCUCCUUAGGCCAAAUCAGAUUUAUUUAGGGCUUAAGGAUUGAGGUUUCUUGGUCUGGCUAUUUAAUUAUCAGCUGACCCGUUCAUUGUUCACUGUUAAACUCAGUGAUGCUCUAGUCUUCACGCCCAUUUCAGUCCCACAGUUUCUAAAAAUCAGGUGGAAUUUUGAGGCAUCUCAGUCAAUCUUUGUACAAUACAUUUUAUUCAAACUGAGGUUGAGGGAAAUGUAGAAAAUGCAGACACCAAAAUCAAAUUCAAGUUAGACGCUCCCUAUAGUAACGAGGAGAUCAAUGCUGUACGGGAUGAGUGAGCUGAAUUUGUGAAACCUUUGAUUAUAGAUUAAGUACUUAAGGUUACUACACUUUUGUUAUAAUACAUGAGUAACACGUUUUAUGAUUAUUGUUAUAUUUUGCAUAUAUUAUUAGUUUAUAUUUAGUUUACGAUAUACGAAUUUAAGUUUUAGAAUCGAUUUUAUUAACAAUUUUGGUAUUGUGUGAUUAGUUAAUAGAAUCGAUUACUAAUUUUAUAUAAGUUUUAAAAA
Molecule: long non-coding RNA, 922 nt
Organism: Cannabis sativa
Lineage: Eukaryota; Viridiplantae; Streptophyta; Magnoliopsida; Rosales; Cannabaceae
Exons: 4
Source: RefSeq, a predicted model, not a curated record